RNAcentral lists this ribosomal RNA (497 nucleotides) under uncultured bacterium. Its description in RNAcentral is "partial 16S ribosomal RNA". It matches the Rfam family "Bacterial small subunit ribosomal RNA", at positions 28 to 507 of the family's 1533-position model. The record is from RNAcentral.
GAUGAACGCUGGCGGCGUGCCUAAUACAUGCAAGUCGAGCGAACAGACGAGGAGCUUGCUCCUCUGACGUUAGCGGCGGACGGGUGAGUAACACGUGGAUAACCUACCUAUAAGACUGGGAUAACUUCGGGAAACCGGAGCUAAUACCGGAUAAUAUAUUGAACCGCAUGGUUCAAUAGUGAAAGACGGUUUUGCUGUCACUUAUAGAUGGAUCCGCGCCGCAUUAGCUAGUGGGUAAGGUAACGGCUUACCAAGGCAACGAUGCGUAGCCGACCUGAGAGGGUGAUCGGCCACACUGGAACUGAGACACGGUCCAGACUCCUACGGGAGGCAGCAGUAGGGAAUCUUCCGCAAUGGGCGAAAGCCUGACGGAGCAACGCCGCGUGAGUGAUGAAGGUCUUCGGAUCGUAAAACUCUGUUAUUAGGGAAGAACAAAUGUGUAAGUAACUAUGCACGUAUUGACGGUACCUAAUCAGAAAGCCACGGCUAACUACGUG